GACGGAGGAUGCAAGCGUUAUCCGGAAUUAUUGGGCGUAAAGCGUCCGUAGGUGGUUGUACAAGUCAGUUGUUAAAGCCCACAGCUCAACUGUGGAUCGGCAAUUGAAACUGUACGACUUGAGUGUGGUAGGGGUAGAGGGAAUUCCUAGUGUAGCGGUGAAAUGCGUAGAUAUUAGGAAGAACACCAGUGGCGAAGGCGCUCUACUGGGCCAUAACUGACACUGAUGGACGAAAGCUAGGGGAGCGAAAGGG
This 253-nucleotide ribosomal RNA is filed under the name uncultured bacterium. RNAcentral describes it as "partial 16S ribosomal RNA". It matches the Rfam family "Bacterial small subunit ribosomal RNA", at positions 524 to 776 of the family's 1533-position model. The record is from RNAcentral.